RNAcentral lists this ribosomal RNA (361 nucleotides) under uncultured Glomeromycotina. RNAcentral's name for it is "SSU rRNA". It matches the Rfam family "Eukaryotic small subunit ribosomal RNA", at positions 569 to 936 of the family's 1831-position model. Lineage: Eukaryota; Fungi; Glomeromycota. The record is from RNAcentral.
AGCAGCCGCGGUAAUUCCAGCUCCAAUAGCGUAUAUUAAAGUUGUUGCAGUUAAAAAGCUCGUAGUUGAAUUUCGGGGUCAGUAGGUCGGUCGUGCCACUGGUAUGAACUGGUUUUACUGAUUCCUCCCUCUUGAAGAACUGUAAUGCCAUUAAUUUGGUGUUGCAGGGAAUCAGGACUGUUACUUUGAAAAAUUAGAGUGUUUAAAGCAGGCUUUAGCUUGAAUACAUUAGCAUGGAAUAAUGAAAUAGGACGUUUGAUCCUAUUUUGUUGGUUUCUAGGAUUGACGUAAUGAUUAAUAGGGAUAGUUGGGGCAUUAGUAUUCAAUUGUCAGAGGUGAAAUUCUUGGAUUUAUUGAAGAC